This is a long non-coding RNA of Humulus lupulus (European hop), 3628 nucleotides long. RefSeq lists it as uncharacterized. The record is from RefSeq and is a predicted model, not a curated record. The transcript is spliced from 2 exons. Lineage: Eukaryota; Viridiplantae; Streptophyta; Magnoliopsida; Rosales; Cannabaceae.
UUUGCAUCAAUACAUUGCUUUGUAUCGUUAUCAAGUCUUAUGUUAUAAUAUGAUUAUAUGAACAAUUUUUGCAAACUAUAUUAGAGGAAUAUUCAAGAAAACUUGUGCCUCUUUACGAUUUUGUGUUCAAUAUAUGCAUAAACAAGUAACACAGAUUUAUAAAGGGAUAAUGUUAUAUAGCAAUUUGAAAGAAUUUUACGGCAAACUUUUGUAAAAAUGAUCUUUACUCUGAGAUUAAAUUAGCAAAGGGUGCUUUAGGUUAACAGUCUCGAUGAAUUCUAAGCUUUCAAACUUUUCUUCUUCUUCUAUGGCUAUGUGAAAAUCAGAUUAGUAGUGACACAAUAUAAUUUUGAUCUUUGUUAAUUUGAAAGAACCGUUGGCCUGAAGAAGAAAUCUGGUAGGCCAUGUUUUCUGUUAUGCUAUAUUGGCCCUCAUCAUACUUCUUUUGAAUCCUGUAUAGUUCAGGAUGAAAUGCAAUAACCUAUUCUUCAAAUUCAUCUUAUGCUCUUUGCUGGCUGGUUUAGAAGUUUACAAGUUCGAAUCAGUUUAAGAAUAACUGAAAAGUAUUUAGGGGUUCUUGUUAAACUUCUUUGGAGUAAUCCAUGUAAUUUUGAUCAGGUAAGACUUGAUCCUGGUUUAAAUUAGGCUCAUGGUCUGCUCCCGUGAGGUAUUGGAUUCGAUUUCUAAUAAAUCCGAAUUGAAAUAAAAAUUGGAACAAAUUACCGAUCGUUUUUCUGGCUGAGUCGCAGACUAUGUCGCUCUCUUUAAGACGUUUCGCGGCUCUGCUCAAAGUGUGCACAACAGUCUAUCAACCACGCCGCUCUCGAGAUAAAACAACCUCUGUAUCUGGUUUCUCUUUGCACCGAAAGGCUUUGCUCUUUUACACCCUCAAGCUCAGAGAAAUUCAAAAGAGAAUAUUUUUUUCUCAGAAAAAAGAUGUGUCUUCUCGUUUUUUCUUAUCAGAGUUAUGUAAAGAAGUCGAUCUGUAUAAAACGGUAAGAAAACGUUUUUCAAACGUGGGAAAAAAUAUCGUGGUCAUAGUAGUUAAAACAAAUCACGUUUACUGCUUCUUAAAAAAUCGUUUUAAAAAUUAAUUAAUAAGUAAAAAAUAAUUAUUUUAUUAUUAAAUAAUUUUUCAACAAAAAAUAAAGUAUGACUCCACACUACCCGCCCGCUAGCUCAGCUCGAUCGGACGGCGGCGGCGCGCGCGCGUGUGGUGAUCAAGUGUGUGAGUUCUCACCCAUUUGCACAAAACUAGGUACCUCUUGGGGCACACCCCAAUGGAUGGGACUUGCAUCUUAUGUACACUCUUAGAAGAGUGUUUCAAAUCCAUGUGAGAUUUUUCCCAUAUCACACACAAUUAUACUUUUUCAAUUUUUUUUAACAGUUCAUUUUAACUUUUAACAAAAAGUUCCAACAAUCCCCCACUUGAAUUUUUAAAAAUUAUUUUCUCGAGCAAUAUCAGAAUCUAUAAGAUUGUACAUAAACAAAUGUAUCUUUUGAUUUGAACAUUUGCGUAGGGAAUACGAUUUAGAUUAUACUAGAGUGACACGUAGUCUUGAACUCUAUUUCUAACAUCGUACCACGCACCAAUCUUUCAAGAGUGUAAUCAAAAAGCCCUUGCGUUAAUGGUCAUGCACGUCUAUCCCAGUAUAGUGAAUGCUCUAGAAAUUUUGCCCAAAAUUCCAUAGGAAGCGGCCCCACUUCCACAUUUACAUAGGUGAGUCUAUCAAGAGUACUCCUGUAGCUCAGUACUCCACUCCACAUAGAGUAUAGAUCUCAUUAAGAGUUUCUAUUAACUCAUCCUCUCAUUGCUUCAGGAAUUCAUGCUUCUAUAUGCUUUAAUGGAAAUAGCAUGAUCCAACUCAUAUCACUUCACAACUUGUUGUUACCCAUUGAACUUAGUUCUUGGGAUCUCCAGUGUAGAGACUCAGAAAAAGAAAAAAAAAAAAAGUAUUAUUUAAAUUAUUUUUUUUUGUGGGUGGGACCCACCUGAGUAAAUGAGUCAGUACUCAUUUUUUUUCUUCUUUUCUUUUCUUCUUCUUUUCCCUUCUCUCUUCUCGAAACCCCUUCUUCUUCUCCCUUUUUCUUUUAUUUUCUUUCCUUUGUUUUCUCUCCAAACCAGUCACGGCCACAACCAGUUGGACCACCGCCGGAGCGCCAUUUCCGACACGCGCUGGAGCUGCAGCUUCCCUGACCGGCGAUGAUGGAAACCCCAAAGUUUGGUGGCCAUCGGAGCAAGGACGCGCCUAUACAGCCACUCCGAAGUUUCGCCGUCAAAACUUUGAGGUGACUUUCCGGCGAACUCCGACCACCGUUCGGCGAGUGGGUGGUACCGUUGGAAUCAGCGUCGUGAGAGGAUCGUCGCACACUAAGUCAUUCUGGUCAACUCACCAUUUUUCUCCGGCGAGAUUUUGGGUAUCUUCGCCCCUUUGGAAGCAUUUUCCGGCGACACCGGAGGUCAUUUGGGCGAAGGAGCUGUACUUUCGUGAUGUACUCAUCGGGAUGAUCGUUUUGAUAUAUGCCAUGCAUAUAUUCGUUAACCUUUCCGGUACCGCCACCAACCGCUAUUGUGCACCGCUUGGGAAAAACGUGAUAUUAAAAUCGGACUAAAUCAUUCUAAGAUCAUCGAUAAGCUUAGGAGCGUUGCUUUGGGCUUGGAUUAAAUUCAAAGGAGGUAUCUAAAGAGGUAGGGACUCAACUAGACUAUUGGACUUAUUUUACUCGUAUUAAAUUGCAUUCAACAUAUUCCAAUUUUGAUAUUUAUAAAAUGUUUGAAAAAUUGAAAACUUAACCUACAUGUUCUCUGAUCUGUUCUGAGGGCACCGAGUGCCAAAUAUAUAUUUUGUUCACUUAUUUAUGCAGGUUAUGAUUUUUGGGUUUAUUCAAAUGUAGUUGUUAUGCUGCCCAAUUUUCUAAAAUAUAAAGAGAAUAUGUUUCUUUCUUUUCAUGUUUACCUGCAUUUGGUUAUACUGGUGAGAGCCAUAGUGAUCAUGAUUGGUGCACGUUGUUGUUUCACGACCUAGUCUCUGUGUCAUCACAGGUAGAUCAGGUGUCUACUCACCUGUAGGUGUAAAGACCUAGCAUCUGUAUACAGGAAGUGUUCUGAGCCUCCCCCUUGUGGUGGUUAUCAGGUCCGGCUACCCGAUUUAGGAUGUCGGAUUUUCUAUGGUGGGUAACGGGAACUAGGGAUCUAGUGGACGGUGUGAUGUGCACUUGUAGCUAUGCUCUUAUGAUUAUUUGUGCUUUCUCUAUUUUGGUUUAUACAUGAUGAUAUAUGUUUUGCUUUCAAAGCUAACUAUGCAGGGGUUUUAUUAAACUUUUGGGUCCAUGAUAUUAGUUGUUUUCCUACUGGGCUUUAUAAGCUCACCCCUAUCUCUCCCAUUCUAGGAGCCUAGUGACGCGAACGUGGAAAUGAUGAAUUAUCGAUGGAGCCAAUGUGUUUAGCCUAUUUCUAUUUCGGGUCAUUGUCUUAUCUUUUGAGCAUUAUAUAUGUAUUCGACUUCGAAUCUAAUGAUCGGUAUAUCUGAAUGAGCUAUGAAAUAGUUAGGGAUGAGGAAUGGUGGAUGCUAAGUAUUAUUUUGAGUGUUUAUGACUUAUUAAAUUUAACUAUUUGGUGAUUACAUAA